GAUUACUAGAAAUUAUCCAGGCAGGAGAGAAGACUUCAAAAGAAAAUUGUGGUAUUUAAACAAAAUCACUCUUUAACUCACUUUUAUUUGUUCAUAUUCACUUCAUCACUUGUUAAAAAAAUUUCUGAGAUACAGAGAGAGGAACAAUAUGAAGGAGAAAAAAUAUUUAGAAACCUUAAGAGCCAUUAUGGCCACAACAGAUAGACAAAGAGACACAUUAGCAAAAGCAAAAUCUUGAGGAAAAACUCAAGAGAAAGGAGGACCGCUCCGCUGAGAUAGUACAUUUCCUUCAGCUUUGGAGGGGACAGGGGAAGAGUCUGGCAGAGAGCAGAGUUGCAGCUGAGGCCUGGAGGCCAGCUGAGCUGCAGGAAGGAGGGUGGAUAGGAGCUGGCCACUCUGGGAAACCCUGCAGUAGGGUCUGUAUAUAAAACCAGUGGGAAAGUGGAUGGGAUGGCAGGGGACAGAGUCGUGUGACACAACUGGAAUAAAACUGGUCACCACUUAAAGGAUAAGUGGAUAACCAAGCCACACAGUCCAGUGUUAGUCCAGGCAUGAAAAAAGAAGGAAAGGCUGGCCCUGGUCUGUGAGAAGAGACAUUCAAAGAAAUAGCAGUGGAAGGGACAUUCUGAAGAUAGAAUCAAGUGGUCCCAGAGAUAACAGAAUGUUGGGACAAAGACAAGCAGCACAACACAGAUUUCUCACCUAUAAUUUGGAAAUAAUGAAUAAUUUGUUAUGAAAAAUAAUUUAAAAUGUUUAACAUAAGGUUUGGAAGAUAAGCUAAUAACUAUCCUCAGGCCUCUGUUCUGAGUUUCAGGUUCUCAUUUACCACUGUUGUUGGAGUGGAAGACUCUACCUUAAGUCUCACACUCUCCCCUCCACAGUUCUUUUUCCUCCUUUCCUACAUCUGCUACCAGGAUCACAACCAGCUCAGUCAACUCCAGUGUCAACAGUGCCAUUCAGAAUCCAUGUGUUCUUUAAAGAGCUAAGAAGCACCGGCUAUAAGGCAGCUAAUGUGUUGCCCCAGCAAUCAAUCAUCACUGAGAACCUACUGUGUGCUGGGAAGGAACCAGAAACCAGCAAGAUACUACCUAAGUGCUUUUCCCUACCUGGAAAAGUCAUUUGGAUAAUUCAAAACCAGUGCUGGGGAACCCAGGACAUUGUGCUUGCUAGAUUAUGUCGAACAUCCAGAAGAAACCCUGAAGCACACCAAGGAGCUGCUAUCCUCUCACCAGCCUGAGUGCUGAUCAGCUGUGCCUGAGGCCUACUGCAAACCCACACCCAGAACUACUCUCAUUCUCUACCUGCUGGUUCCCAUCUGCUGACCUUACUAGAGUGAAUUCCAUUGUGGCUGAUGAUGAGUCUUGCUCUAUUGAUCUUGACCUCACUGACUUUGUAGUUUAAAGUUUUAGAAUACUUAGAGAAUUGGCUUUUAAUUAGCACAAAUCUGUACACCUGCCCAAGUUGCAUGCUAACCUGACCUGUGUGUGCAUGAUUGCUAGUACUUAUGCUUGGUCUACGUGCCUCCACAGCUGCUGUUCCACCUCUCUCAUCAGUGGCUGCCAGUCAUCACACUACUCCUCCUUGUGAGUGAGUUUCCACUGGGCUCUCUGAACAUGCGCAUGAGAAACAACUCCUGACAGGCACACCGAAUGCUAAAUGAAUAGUUUUCUUUAAGGAAUAAAAUUUUUAACUGAUUUUAUAACUCUUCUCUAUAGUUUUUACAAGUAUCUGAUCUGUAGUUAAUAAUAACUUAUAUGUGACUUGAAGACUUGCCAAGACUGUAAAUUUUUUUAAAAUAACAAUUUAUUUUAUUUAUGAAAGCAAAAGCCACUCAUUAUAGAAAAUACUCAUAGAAGAAAAGGACAUUAAAAUUUACCUGUGAUUUAACCUAUUGUUAUUUCUGUUACUUUUAGGGGUAUGUAUGUUUAUGUUUGUUGAGGCGGGGCAGGGUAUUUGGAAGAUUUACAUAAUUCAAAUCAUACUGUGCAUAUGAUACUAAGCACUUUCCCCACCGAAUUUUAUAUUGUAAGCAUUUUUCCAUAUAUUAGUAAAAAUUAACUAU
Ictidomys tridecemlineatus (thirteen-lined ground squirrel) is the source of this 2062-nucleotide non-coding RNA. Lineage: Eukaryota; Metazoa; Chordata; Mammalia; Rodentia; Sciuridae. The record is from RefSeq and is a predicted model, not a curated record.